RNAcentral lists this ribosomal RNA (414 nucleotides) under uncultured cyanobacterium. RNAcentral's name for it is "bacterial SSU rRNA". It matches the Rfam family "Bacterial small subunit ribosomal RNA", at positions 356 to 785 of the family's 1533-position model. Lineage: Bacteria; Bacillati; Cyanobacteriota. The record is from RNAcentral.
GGGGAAUUUUCCGCAAUGGGCGAAAGCCUGACGGAGCAACGCCGCGUGAGGGAUGAAGGCCUCUGGGCUGUAAACCUCUUUUCUCAAGGAAGAAGACCUGACGGUACUUGAGGAAUAAGCCACGGCUAAUUCCGUGCCAGCAGCCGCGGUAAUACGGGAGUGGCAAGCGUUAUCCGGAAUUAUUGGGCGUAAAGCGUCCGCAGGCGGCCUUGUAAGUCUGUUGUUAAAGCGUGGAGCUCAACUCCAUUUGAGCAAUGGAAACUACAAGGCUUGAGUGUGGUAGGGGCAGAGGGAAUUCCCGGUGUAGCGGUGAAAUGCGUAGAUAUCGGGAAGAACACCAGUGGCGAAGGCACUCUGCUGGGCCAUAACUGACGCUCAUGGACGAAAGCCAGGGGAGCGAAAGGGAUUAGAUAC